ACGCGCUCUCGGUCACUUCAACAGGUUCACAAAUGCCAGCAUUACGAGCUGGAGACUUGAUGGCGGCAUUUGACCUCCCUUUUCUGCAACCCGCUCCUCUCCCACAAACUUACAACGAAGAGAAAACGUAAGAGAAAAUGGCGACGCAGAUAUCACGGAUGAAAGACUUGUAGUCUCGCGAGGUCUGUGACGCAGAGACGCAAUUUCCCCCCACCUUUAAAAAUGGUGUUUUAGCCGAGGUUCGUAAUGCCUACUAUGGUGUAUUUCUGAAAUCUGAAAACUCGCCAGUCCUGGAAUAGUGAGACCUAAGAUACACUUAUUGUGCUGUAAAUGAAUAUGUAACGCUGUUAAUGCUGUUACAAUACAGAGCGCUCUGUAAUAAAUGUAAUUAUGCAUGUGUUCAUUUCAUAGUAGGAGUCCCCUACCUUAGAAUCCAGUCAAAUUGUGCCACUAGGUAACUACUAAAUCGUCAUUUUUUAAAAGACUCAAUUAUUCAGUUAUGGCUGAGCAGAUAAUAUUACUUCGCAGGUUACAUCGUUUGGUACUGCACAGCACAAUACAACAUGAUCACUUAAUGGUUUAAUUGCUGGGACUCUUCUUUUUUUAUAAGGUUUGCAGUGCUGUUUAUCUUUUUGCCAUGUUCGUUAGGGGUUGCUCUGAGCAUUAAACAGCACUAAAAAGCAUAAACAACCCCUUACGUCUCAAUUACACUUCAUCUGAAUUUAAUUCAGAGCAAAAAGUUAAAACACUGUAUGCAAUAUGAAGCAUCCAUUCAUAACUGAAGCAAUAAACAACAGAGUACAAUUU
Lepisosteus oculatus (spotted gar) is the source of this 807-nucleotide non-coding RNA. Lineage: Eukaryota; Metazoa; Chordata; Actinopteri; Semionotiformes; Lepisosteidae. The record is from RefSeq and is a predicted model, not a curated record.